AGAGUUUGAUCAUGGCUCAGGAUGAACGCUGGCGGCGUGCCUAACACAUGCAAGUCGAGCGAUUCUCUUCGGAGAAGAGCGGCGGACGGGUGAGUAACGCGUGGGUAACCUGCCCUGUACACACGGAUAACAUACCGAAAGGUAUGCUAAUACGGGAUAACAUAUUUUGAUGGCAUCAUCGAAAUGUCAAGCUCCGGCGGUACAGGAUGGACCCGCGUCUGAUUAGCUAGUUGGUGAGGUAAUGGCUCACCAAGGCGACGAUCAGUAGCUGACCUGAGAGGGUGAUCGGCCACAUUGGAACUGGGACACGGUCCAAACUCCUACGGGAGGCAGCAGUGGGGAAUAUUGCACAAUGGGCGAAAGCCUGAUGCAGCAACGCCGCGUGAGCGAUGAAGGCCUUCGGGUCGUAAAGCUCUGUCCUCAAGGAAGAUAAUGACGGUACUUGAGGAGGAAGCCCCGGCUAACUACGUGCCAGCAGCCGCGGUAAUACGUAGGGGGCUAGCGUUAUCCGGAAUUACUGGGCGUAAAGGGUGCGUAGGUGGUUUCUUAAGUCAGAGGUGAAAGGCUACGGCUCAACCGUAGUAAGCCUUUGAAACUGAGAAACUUGAGUGCAGGAGAGGAGAGUAGAAUUCCUAGUGUAGCGGUGAAAUGCGUAGAUAUUAGGAGGAAUACCAGUUGCGAAGGCGGCUCUCUGGACUGUAACUGACACUGAGGCACGAAAGCGUGGGGAGCAAACAGGAUUAGAUACCCUGGUAGUCCACGCCGUAAACGAUGAGUACUAGGUGUCGGGGGUUACCCCCCCUCGGUGCCGCAGCUAACGCAUUAAGUACUCCGCCUGGGAAGUACGCUCGCAAGAGUGAAACUCAAAUGAAUUGACGG
RNAcentral lists this ribosomal RNA (879 nucleotides) under uncultured bacterium. Its description in RNAcentral is "bacterial SSU rRNA". It matches the Rfam family "Bacterial small subunit ribosomal RNA", at positions 8 to 916 of the family's 1533-position model. The record is from RNAcentral.